Molecule: unclassified non-coding RNA, 725 nt
Filed under: Hevea brasiliensis (rubber tree)
Lineage: Eukaryota; Viridiplantae; Streptophyta; Magnoliopsida; Malpighiales; Euphorbiaceae
Source: RNAcentral
UCACCAUGCACUAUAUUCUGUUAACAAACAAGGAAAAGAAAUGCAGUUCAGCAAUGUAUACAUAUAUCAACUUCUCUGUCCAUCACAGGGGAGAGAACACUACGUAAAAAACGAAAUACAAACACAACUUUUGCAGAAUAUCUCGACUGAAACAUAAAAAUAAGUAACAAAGCUAAUUCGCAUACAUAAUUUCUAUAUAUCUCUAACGGAGUUCAUGGGUCAUAGAUCUAUAACAGAAAUAUUUACUUGUACUCUUCUCUCCCAAUCUUUCAAAGUUUACCAGGAUCAAUUAUUUAAUAAAGACAGUGCUCUGAUGGUGAGGAUAAUAUUGCAACUGCAGAAAUCAAAAGCAGCUAAAGACAUGAUUGUGAAGUGAAAUUUCUGUCCUAACAGAUAACCUGAAUGAGCCACAGAACUCUUCAUUGAUCAGACCCAAAUAAAAUUAGAUUUCACAAUUACUAGCCAAUGCCAUAGGUGCAAGGAAGACGAUAAGCAAUCUAUUGAAAAUUAGCAAAACCAUAAGAACUACCCUUGAAAUAUAUAUACAUGCAGAUUUGGGUACCUCAAAUAUACAUGGCAAUACCUGAUCAAUCCCCAAGUGGAAUCUGUCCCCACCCCGAUCCCCACUUCAAUUUUACCGUAACUUCAAAAAAAAAAAUUUUUUUAAUUAAAAUUAAGGAAAAUUAUUAUUUAGUCUCUGCAUUUUAACAAAAUUAACUACUUAG